GAGACAUUGUGGCUGCAGGGGCCAGCAGCACACAGGUCUAAAGGACACGGCUGGUUGCAGGGGAUAUCGCAAAGGAAUUCCAGGAAUGAAUACGUGCGGGAGGUUGGCGAAGUGGUAUUUGUCCUGCUAACCUCUCACAACUAUGGUGGUGAAUCACUUGCGCCCUGGGCCAGCACUCGGCCCGGGGGUGGUGGGUGGUGGUCCUGUGGCCAGGGCCCCAGGCAGAGGCCCCAGCCCCGGCUCGGCUGGCUGCCCUGGCACUGCUGGACCCACCGAUGCCGUGCUUCUCCAUGAGCGUGAUGAGCUCGGCCUCCGUCAGGUAGUCGGGGGGGCUUGUCUGCUUCUCCAGCAUCUUGACCUCGCCCACGGCGAGGCUGUCACCCCUCUGGCAGGUGGGCAGGCUCUCCUCCAGGGGGAUGCUCUGCCAGGGCAUGAUCUCUGUGAAGCCUGCAGAGACAGGGCGCCGCCGCUCAGGGCCUGAGAGCAGGGCUGCCCACCUGGGUCCCCCGAGGUGCCCGAGCGUCUGUGGACGGGGAGGGGCGUCCGCCUGGCCGCACCCCACCUGGGGAGAUGACGGUCUUGCCCGUGCAGGUGAAGCGCUCGGGCCCGAUGCGGAAGGAGACGCUGCUCUGCAGGUACCUGCAGUCGUGGCUGACCGUGGCGAUGAAGUGCCUGGUGAUGUACUCGUACAGCCGCCAGGCCUCGCCCCCUGUGGUGGGCACGGCUGGUUAGCGGCCGGGCGGGGGCACCAGGAAGCCCGGCAUGCCAGCACUGGCCUGCUCCAGAGCCUGAGACCGGGAGGGACCUGCUCCCACCUCCUGCCCCUGCUCCCAGGGGAUCUGCUCUCCAGGGCCUGGCCUGCCCCACAAACCACCUGCCACCUUCGCUUCAGACUGGGGCUUCUGUCUCCACCGCAGCCUCGCUCCCCUGCCUCAUCCUGGCACGCGGGCCACCAGCAUCACCUUGUGGCAGGGAGGUGAGGGCACCCCAUGGUUGAGCCUGUCCCCUGCCCGGUCUCAACCGAUCUGUCUGGCCACCUGCCUGCCCACCCACCUCACCCCACCUCCUGCAGCAGCACCCACACCUGCUUUCACACACCUGCUGCCACCACUUCACUCCUGUCCCAUCCAUGGAGACAGAGCACAACUUUCAGGUGGCCCCUUCAUCCCAGCCGGGGCAGGGGGACCCCACACUGCCAAGGAGGCCUGAUAAGGGCCAGAGGUGCCAUGUCCCGAAGCCCCUCACCCCACCCUCCUUGGAAGCUCAAAGCCUGAGUGUGUGUGUGCACGUGUGUAGGAAUGUGUCUGUGUGAGGGCGUGAGCAUGUGUGUGGGGAGUGUGAGGGUGAGAACGUCGGAGGAGCCGCAAUACCUAAUUCGGCCUCUGUGGCGGAUCUCAUGGGGGUGAUGGGGGGGUGGUCGCCAGCAUCGUGGCCUUUCCGUGGGCGGUUGAUGCCUUCCGCCAACAACCGCUUCACCUGCAGGGGGGACAUGAGGCAGAGCUGAGUUCAGGUGCGGCUGCCCACCCACGAGGACGAGGCCCGUGGGCUGGGGCUCCAGCCUCACCGUGUCGGCCCAGUAGGGGUGGUUGGCCUGCUGCCGCAGAGGCCCCUUGAGGUCGAAGUUCUCGGGGUAGUGGGUGGUCUCGGUCCGCGGGUAGCUGAUGUAGCCCUGCGUGUAGAGGCGCUCGGCCGUCUGCAUGGCAUGCUGCGGGCCCAUGCCUGCGGAGACAGAGGCCCAGCGGCCCCAGUGCCAGGACGGCAGACGCCCGCCCCGGGCCUGGGCACUCAAGCUCCUGGGAGGCGAGCGUGGCUCUGAGCAGCUGGGGGACUGUGCCCACACAGCCUUCCCCAAGGCCAAGCUUCCCACCUCCAACAGGCACGCCUGUGUCACCCGAGAUGUUGAAAUGUGGCCUUCAGAAAACCUGUCUCAUGCCCUGCCUGGAGCCACCCUAAGCCCUGGGCUCUGUGAUGUCUGGCUAAGACAGUGGAAUCUGCACAUGCCCUCCGUCCUGAGCCCUCAGGGGUUUCUGUCCUCCAAAUCCAGGGCCACUGAUGGAGGCUCAUCCCUCUGUUCCUCCCUGAGCCACAGUCUGGCCUAGCUAGCAGGUACUCGAUGUCAUCGCUGACCCAUGAAGGUCCCCAGAGGUGCUGCUCUGACAGGACACUGCCUACGGUUUCCUGAGGCUGCAGAGGGGUCACUGGUGCCUGGGGGCCGACAGCUGUGAGAGACCAACCUUUCAGCAUAACCUUCUUGCCACUGUGGAAACGAGGCUCAGAGAGGCCACGUCACACCAGUUACACUGUCCUGAGCAGGAGACACGGGCCUCAGUGCCCUGCCCACACCUGGCCUCUCCCUGCACCAGGGACGCCAGCGCUGCCUGUCCCCCUUGGUGGCCACCUUGUCACAACUGCUAUUGUUAGGAUGCUCAGUUUCACACCAGGGAAACCUAAGACAGCUUAGAGAGAAGGGGACUGCGGUCGCCCAUUUUCUCACGAGGAAACUGAAGCUUCAGGACAAGGAAGCAAGGGGCCUGGCUGGGAUUUGUACCAAUUUUUCGUUCUGGAGCUGGAACUCCACUGUUUAACGCCUUGGAGUGGGUGGCACCCAGCCAGGGACACAUGAGGGCCCAGUGGCUGCUCAGACACUUAGUGACAUGAAAUGGUCUGGUUUUCCCCACAAUUCAAAUACGCUGUUGAGUGUUAACCAACAGUCCUAUGAAAGGGAAUCCUCCCUGCUGUUUGUUGUCACUUGUUACUGCUUUGGAAUUUAAGAGAAAUAAAAUCCACGUGAUGUUCUGACUCCCUCUAA
Camelus dromedarius (Arabian camel) is the source of this 2809-nucleotide long non-coding RNA. RefSeq lists it as uncharacterized. The record is from RefSeq and is a predicted model, not a curated record. Lineage: Eukaryota; Metazoa; Chordata; Mammalia; Artiodactyla; Camelidae. The transcript is spliced from 2 exons.